Molecule: ribosomal RNA, 163 nt
Filed under: Burretiodendron esquirolii
Lineage: Eukaryota; Viridiplantae; Streptophyta; Magnoliopsida; Malvales; Malvaceae
Also listed under: 6 other names
Description: 5.8S ribosomal RNA
Rfam family: 5.8S ribosomal RNA
About the family: 5.8S ribosomal RNA (5.8S rRNA) is a component of the large subunit of the eukaryotic ribosome. It is transcribed by RNA polymerase I as part of the 45S precursor that also contains 18S and 28S rRNA.
Source: RNAcentral
AAACGACUCUCGGCAACGGAUAUCUCGGCUCUCGCAUCGAUGAAGAACGUAGCGAAAUGCGAUACUUGGUGUGAAUUGCAGAAUCCCGUGAACCAUCGAGUCUUUGAACGCAAGUUGCGCCCCAAGCCAUUAGGCCGAGGGCACGCCUGCCUGGGUGUCACGC